GGACUACUCCCUCUGUCCCAAAAUUCUUGUCUUAUAUUUGUGUAGAUAUGAAUGUAUCUAGUCAUAUCUUAGUAUUUAGAUACAUUUAUUUAUAGACAAAUCUAAGACAAGUAUUUUGGGACGGAAGGAGUAUUAU
Molecule: non-coding RNA, 136 nt
Organism: Hordeum vulgare subsp. vulgare (domesticated barley)
Lineage: Eukaryota; Viridiplantae; Streptophyta; Magnoliopsida; Poales; Poaceae
Source: Rfam